UAAAUUCCUUCCUAAGGCUACUAAUCUUGUUAUUGAUCUGGAGAAUGGCACAUUGCCCCCACAAUCAAAGGUGGAGACUCAAAGGGUGGUCGUGAAGACAGAGAAGGAUGAGAGGGAGAAUUCACCUAAAUGGUUGAGGGGACGAAAGAAUCUUCACAGAGAAGAUCAUGAAUUAGAAGAAAGGAGUAGAAAGCAGUCAGCAGUUCAUCUGGAAGAAGACGAAGAUGAGCUAUCAGAGAUGUUUGAUAGGGUAUUGCUAUGUUCUGAUCCUAAAGCAGAGCGUUCUUACUACUGUACUGGGGAAGAAGACUGCAAUAGCUUGCAGCAGUCUGAACAUCCACAGUCUAAUGCUGAAAAGACACGCACUAAGAAGUCAUCUAAGGAAGUGGUGGAUUUGAGAACUCUGUUGAUUCACUGUGCACAAGUUGUCUCUACCUAUGAUCUCAGGACUGCAAAUGAACUACUAAAGCAGAUUAGGCAGCACUCUUCCCCUUUUGGUGAUGGAUCGCAGAGGUUGGCUCAUUUCUUUGCUGAAGGCCUGGAAGCACGCUUGGCAGGCACUGGGACAGAGAUUUAUACUGUCCUAGCUUCCAAGAAGGUGUCAGCUGCUGCUAUGUUGAAAGCUUACGAACUUUUCCUUGCAGCCUGCCCAUACAAGAUGAUCUCUAUUUUCUUUGCGAACCAUAUGAUUUUGCGUUUAGCUGAGAAAGCAAAAGUGCUUCAUAUUAUAGAUUUUGGUAUCUUAUACGGCUUCCAAUGGCCUGGCCUCAUCCAACGUCUCUCAGCAAGACCUGGAGGGCCUCCCAAGCUUCGAAUUACAGGAAUAGAGCUUCCCCAACCGGGUUUCCGGCCAGCAGAAAGAGUUGAGGAGACAGGGCGCCGACUGGCAAGGUAUUGUGAACGAUUCAAUGUUCCAUUUGAGUACAAUGCCAUAGCAAAGAAGUGGGAAACUAUCCAAAUUGAGGAUCUCAAGGUUGACAGCAAUGAGGUAAUUGCUGUGAACAGCAUGUUCCGGUUUAAGAAUUUACUUGAUGAGACAAUUGUGGUGGACAGCCCAAGGAAUGCGGUUUUGGGCUUAAUCAGGAAAAUUAAUCCUCAUAUUUUCAUCCAUUCCAUCACUAAUGGUUCGUAUAAUGCACCAUUCUUUGUCACACGGUUCCGGGAAGCACUGUUUCACUUCUCUGCAGUGUUUGAUGCGUUGGGUAACAACAUAGCCAGUGAAAAUGAGCACAGGUUAAUGUAUGAGAAAGAAUUCCUGGGGCAGGAGGUGAUGAACGUCAUAGCAUGUGAGGGUUCUGAAAGGGUUGAGAGGCCUGAGACAUACAGGCAGUGGCAGGUUCGGACCCUGAAUGCUGGGUUCAGACAGCUCCCAUUAAAUCAGGAGCUCACAAAGAAAUUGAAGACCAAGGUUAAGUUGGGUCACCACAAGGAUUUUUUGGUGGAUGAAGAUGGGAAUUGGCUGCUGCAGGGUUGGAAGGGACGAGUUCUCUUCGCUUCCUCCUGUUGGAUACCCGCGUAGGAGGCCAGAAAUCAGUCUUCUGGAAGUGUAGUAGUGUUAGUUAAGUGUCCAGUAUGUGCAAGGGUGAUCUGAGGUACUGCCUUCUUUGGCGUUUUAGAUCUCUCUCCUACGCACAUUCGUGUCAUCGUGUGUACAUCCAUGUGGUCUUAUUGUAGCAUUUUUAAGUUAUAAGCUUGAUCCUAUUAGCGCCUUAAGUGUGCUGGGAGUUGACUGAAAUUUUGUAUGAUAUGACUUUGUUGUAAUGCUUAGGAAAGAGUUGGAGUUGGUCCUCUUUAGGACUACUCAUUUAAUGCUUCCAUGAAAAUCCGUUGGAAACUAAAAUAUUAACCAAUUUUUUUUAUUUGAAUUAGUUUCUAAAAUUUUAUUUUGAAAAUAAAUUAUAUUUUAGAAUAAUGUGAAAAACAAUUAAAAAUAUAUAUAUAUAUAAAAUCUUUGGAAAUUGUUGAAUGCCUUUAUUAGAAUAAAUGAGAUAAAAUUCUUUUCUAGUUAAGUUUCCAAACAAAAUUAUUAAAUUUCUUUUAAUAUGGAUUUUCUGUCCCACACGUGCGAUUGAGUUGAGGGAGUGUUGACCUUGCUCGUGCUCCUUAAGCAUAGGUCCCUUUCCUUUUUUGCCUUAUACACCUAGUCCCAUGCCCCAUGUUUACUCUUUUUGUCAUCCUUGUUCCCCACAUAAAUCUGUUUUUGUGAUGGGAGUGGGAAUCAAUCAAAUGGGCAGGCUUCAUGUUUUUGUUUUUCAAAAAAAAAAAAUGGUAGUAACUUUUAUUUAGUUACACAAACUCUUAGUUAUUUAUAUUGAAAAAGGAUUGAUUUUUAAAAAUUAUUUAAAAAAUUAAAGUUUUAAAAGUAAUUCUUAAAAUAUAAGAUAAAUUUAAUGAUUUUGAAAACAAAAGAUAAUAAGCAUAUCUAAUUGGACACUUAGAUUUUUUUUUUUUUUUUGUUAUUUCAUUUAACUAUUUAUAUGGUAAUGGUUGAUAUUGAGGCUAAUCAAAGUUUGGCACAAUUUAUUAAUAUAACUAUAACUUAAUGUGUUUUUUGUGAGUUUAGAUAGAGUAUUAUUAUGUUUGAGUCAAAUUCAUGACCUAUUUAAUAAACAAAUAGUGUUUUUAGUAAGAUUGUAUUAUACCAAAUUUGAUUAGAUUGACCAGUUAAAUAAUUGUUCUAAUUGACAUGAUUAUAAUCACAACUUAUUUAAAUAAUAUUUAAUUCAUUUAAAGUGUGAUUUUAAAUAAUUUGAGUAUAAAUUUAUCAGAUUUCAAGAUUAAUCAUAUUAUUUCAAAUAAGACUUAAUUUGACUUUAUUAUUAGAUAGAACUCAAAUUAUUAAAUUUUGCUAUCUUAAAAUUUAAAAAUUUUAAAAAUGAUUUUUAAAAGCAUAAGAUAAACCUAAACUUUAUAAAAUAUUCUACUUUUAUAUAUAAGGUUUUUUUAAAAAUAAAAAUAAAAAUAAAUAAGUAUAUCUAAUUAGACACUUAAAAGUCCUUUUUUUUUUCUUUCUAUUCCCUUUGGCUAUUUCAUUUAACCAUUCAUACGGUAAUUGUUCAUAUUGAGGUUAAUCAAAGUUUGAUACAAUUUAUUAAUUUGACUAUAAUUUAACAUGUUUUUUUGCGGGUUAAAAUUAAAUAUAAUUAUAUUUGAGUCAAAUUCAUGAUUGUUUAAUGAACAAAUUGUUUUUUCAAUAAAUCUACAUUACACAAAUUUGUUCUGAUUGACAUAAUUACAACUAGAACUUAUUUAAAUUAUAUUUAAUUCAUUUACAAUUUGAUUUUAAUUAAAUUAAGUAUGAAUAUAUCAAAUUGAAUCAAAUAAGACAUAACUUAAACUUAUUAUUAAAUAAAAUUUGAUUAUUUAAUUAGUUACAUAAUGUAUUACUUAUUUAAUCAUUAGUAGAUAUUUGAAUUCAUACUUUUAAUCCGGUUAUUAUUUGUAUAGUAUUUGGAUUAACCUAUUUAGUUUGACAAACCCAAUCCAUCCACACCAAUUAUGAUCGUUGGAAGCGACUUUUUUUUAUUAGAAUGACAUUUCAUCAUCAUCGUUGCAAUGGUUGACUUGCCCUUUAUAUAGUAGUUUUCAUUGACUUUCUAAGUUAAUCAUGAUCGUGCUUGUAGCUUUUUAGUUAGAUUCUAAAUCAGGAAACACGGGUUAUGUCAAUGCGUCCCGAUAAUUAGGUGGGGAUUUAUGCAGGUACCUUUGGUGGAUAGUACCUAAGGAAUGUCUCUUUUCUUGAUGUAGGGUUGAAAUGAGUUGCCUAUUUUUUGAAUCACCAACCCUAAUCCAAAUAUUUUUAUAUCUCAUAUGAAAUAUUUUUUUAUUUUGUUUUUCAAUGUAGUGAGGAGUGGUUGCAUUUAAACCGAACCUCUAUCAAAUUACUUCUAAAAGGAAAAAAGGUAGCACCUUUGGGCAUGAUUAAAAUAUCAAGUAUCAGAACAUUUCGACACGAUAUAUGCAAGAGAAAUAUCGGAAAAUAUCGGUUCCACGAAAUUGUCAAUUUAUCGUGAGUUUCCCAUAUUUUCGAGAUUUAAUAGCAUUUUCUCAAUUUAUCGUCGAUAUAUCACAAUAUUUCGGGCUAUCAACACAUUCAACGCAAUAAGCCAACUACUGGGGCAAGUUUACCCCUUGAUAUAUAAAUUGCACCAAAUAAAUAUAAACUCAAAUUCAUCAUAUAAACAUAUUUUUUUUAAAAUGAUUUAAAUAAAAAAUUAAUUAUAAUUAUUUUAUAAUUAAAUGAAAUUUUUUCAUCUAUUUGAAUACUGAAAAUAUAAAAAUUAUCGUGAUAAUUUUAUUCAUAGUGUUUUUAAUAUCAUUAAUAUAUUAAUUAAGUAUUAAAAACUAUACAUACAUCAUUAUUUAUUUUAUAUCAUUUAAUACAAUUAAAUUAAAUGAAUUAUAAUUUUAAUAUUAAUAUAUUUUAAAAAUUUUCAAAUAUCACAAUAUCAUUAUCGAAUAAUAUUUGAUAUAAUUUAAUAAUAAAUAUAUACUUAUGAAAUUCAUAUUUUUUUUAUUAGCACAUACAAUAUUAUUAUCAAAUAUGAUAAAUUAUAUUAUACGUAUAUUAAUUUAUUGAAUAAAACAAUUUUAAAAUAUCUACUACAUUUCAAAUUUUAUUUUUAAGUUUUUUUCUUAUGUUUAUAUAUAUUUAUCAAUUUUAGGUUCACCGAUAUUUUAUGUCAAAAUAUCCGUCGAUAUAUUUUCGAUAUAUCUGUAAAAUGAAAGUACCAAUAUAUCCAUAAUUACCGAUAUUUUCAUCUUUGCCUUUGAGCGAAAUAGAUGCGUAAACACAUUGUUAAUUGUGUACACCUGUUCUCAAAACUUUAACCUAGUAACUAAAGCAAAGAUCAUUAGUCAAAUUUCUAAAAAUGUUAGGAACACUAUGAUUAAAAAUUGUAUUAGGUAUUCGGUCCAAGUGGUGGCAAAAGGUUGAUCUUCCAUGAUGAAUUUAAUCCAAGUGCCAUGAACCCGAUCUAAUUUAGUAGAUGAAAUAAAAUCAUUGUAUUCAUCAUAUAUUUGUAUUGUAAGAUUAAUAUAUUUUUAUCAUGCUUCUAUUUUGACUUUUAUGUUCGAGACAUUAAUACUAUAGCUUAUACAUGUAAUGGAUUAUUAUCAUUGAAAAGUAAAAGUUAAAUGAUGAUAGAAACAAAAGCCCAAAAAAGACAUUAUUGAAAUUAUGAAAAACGUGACUCAUGAAUUUGUGAUUUUGUUGACCCGAUUAGAAAGUUAUGGAAGGAAAGAUGAUUUUUCGUUUGAAUUUUUUCCCACCUAUUAGAAAAAUGUUCUUAGUUUGACGAAAGAGUGGAGGUAAAAAUUAUGUAAUGUCUAAUAUGGAGGUUGAGAUGGUCAGCAGCAUAAUGGCUUGAUUUUACCAUACCUGGAAAAUUGGAAAUGUCAAUUAUAUUUUUGAAAUAUAAUAAGUAAGAAUAUUAUUGAAGUGGAGCCGGAGGACGAACAAGGCCCAGCAUUAGGAGAAGGUAGACCACAUACAACGGUGGAUAACGGUUUGACCGGAGAAAGGUUGAAGCCACCGUGCCGACGUCACCCAAGAAAUGGAAAGUUUAAAAAAGCUGUCAGAAAAGACCGCAAUUUUUUUUUAACCAACGUGGCACUAGGUUACUGGAUAGUUAGGCGAGUAGAGGUGCGGCAGGGGAAGGAGUCUAUAGUAUUCACUAUUCACAGGUCAAAAGAUGGGAGUAGAGGUGGCGAGGAGCAGUCACUUGUUGGACGGAAGGACCGGUUAUAGCCGGUGGAGCUUGGCAUUGUGGCAGUGCCACGUCCGAUGCCUUCCCAGAAGCUUCGAGGAUGAGCAUCCCCUCUUUCCUAUCCUCUCCUUUAUAUGAAGUCGAUCGUACCGUCCAGUCUGGUCUCAACCCUCCUGUUCAGUUUGUUUUCCCUCUACUCGCCUCUAGGGAUUGGGUUCCAAACUCUCUCUUCUCUCCUUUGCUCUACAAAUUCAUCUAUUUUCAGGGUUCUUGAACUUGAAUUUUGCUUCACUUCUCUGUAGCGCCCGUAUUGGUAACUUCUUUUCGAUACGAGUAUGUCCAAAUUUAAAUUUUUUUUCCUUUCCAUUUUUGUUGUUCUAUCAAUGAUUUUUUUUAUUCUUAUGUGAUUUGGGUUUCUGUAAAUUACAGUUGAUCUCUAAAUAGGAACUGAAAUCUAAAUUAGGGUUGAGAGUUAGUUGUUUAGUGGGAAUUGAUUUUUUAGGGUUCAGAUUUCGGCUUUGGAUCCACGUUUGAGGGGAUUUGUUGAUGCGAUGAAUGGUAUCGAAUUCAAUGGUCAAGCCUUUUUGACUGGUUCAGAUCAGUAUCCGAAUUUUGAAAAUGGAUUCACAUUUGAUGCUCACUCGCCUCUAGAUCUUAACUUCUUAGAUCAUCCUUUUCUUCCUCCUGAUGUGAACCUGGGUGUGUUUGCUCAAUCUUCGAGCUUGAGCCCAGAUGGAGAUUCUUCCGAUGACGGUGACUCUUCUGAUAGUUUUCUCAAGUACGUAAGCCAGGUGCUUAUGGAAGAGAAUCUGGAGGAUAAAGCCUGUAUGUUCCACGAUCCGCUGGCGGUACAAGCUGCUGAGAAGUCGUUUUACGACGUUCUUGGUGGGCAAAAUCCUACCUUCCGGAGUGAGCCCCCUGUUCAUGUUGACCAAGUUGUUGACAGCCCGGAUGAUAGCGUUUCGGGCAGUAGCAGUGACUAUGGUAGUUAUAGCAGUCGUAUCAAUGGUACUAGUAAUCUUCAGUGGAGUGCUGAUGCUCACAAUUCUGCGAACCAUCAGUGGGUUGUUGAUCCCGGUGAUCGUAACUACAAAUCCUCUUUCCUACAAAACCCUCUUCCUGAAAAUUAUGUUUUUGGGUCUGCUUUAGGAUCAGCUUCGCCGUCUUCUGUCACCUCUUCUGAUAGCUUCAGUAACAUCGGUAAUGGAGUUGUUGACUCUUCACCAAAAACAGUCUUGGUUCCAAAUAUUUUUAGUGAUAGUGAGUCGAUCUUGCAGUUCAAGAGAGGGGUAGAGGAAGCUAGUAAAUUCCUUCCUAAGGCUACUAAUCUUGUUAUUGAUCUGGGGAAUGGCACAUUGCCUCCACAAUCAAAGGUGGAGACUCAAAGGGUGGUUGUGAAGACAGAGAAGGAUGAGAGGGAGAAUUCGCCUAAAUGGUUAAGGAGAAGAAAGAAUCUUCACAGGGCUGAUAUCGAAUUAGAAGAAGGAAGGAGAAGCAAGCUGUCAGCCGUUGAUUUGGAAGAAGACGAUGAUGAGCUAUCGGAGAUGUUUGAUAAGGUGUUGCUA
RNAcentral lists this long non-coding RNA (7273 nucleotides) under Vitis vinifera (wine grape). Its description in RNAcentral is "long non-coding RNA (VVIN_LNC001734)". Lineage: Eukaryota; Viridiplantae; Streptophyta; Magnoliopsida; Vitales; Vitaceae. The record is from RNAcentral.